GCGGAUGUGGCGGAAUUGGUAUACGCGCUAGGUUUAGGUCCUAGUGAGGCAACUCGUGGGGGUUCGAGUCCCUUCAUCCGUACCA
RNAcentral lists this transfer RNA (85 nucleotides) under Candidatus Xenolissoclinum pacificiensis L6. Its description in RNAcentral is "tRNA-Leu". It matches the Rfam family "tRNA". From Rfam's summary of the family: Transfer RNA (tRNA) molecules are approximately 80 nucleotides in length. Their secondary structure includes four short double-helical elements and three loops (D, anti-codon, and T loops). Further hydrogen bonds mediate the characteristic L-shaped molecular structure. tRNAs have two regions of fundamental functional importance: the anti-codon, which is responsible for specific mRNA codon recognition, and the 3' end, to which the tRNAs corresponding amino acid is attached (by aminoacyl-tRNA synthetases). tRNAs cope with the degeneracy of the genetic code in two manners: having more than one tRNA (with a specific anti-codon) for a particular amino acid; and 'wobble' base-pairing, i.e. permitting non-standard base-pairing at the 3rd anti-codon position. The record is from RNAcentral. Lineage: Bacteria; Pseudomonadati; Pseudomonadota; Alphaproteobacteria; Rickettsiales; Anaplasmataceae.